Hibiscus syriacus is the source of this 423-nucleotide long non-coding RNA. RefSeq lists it as uncharacterized. The record is from RefSeq and is a predicted model, not a curated record. The transcript has 3 exons. Lineage: Eukaryota; Viridiplantae; Streptophyta; Magnoliopsida; Malvales; Malvaceae.
UCCAUAGGAUGAUCCAUUUUUGCGCUUGAUGGACGAUCGUAAGUUACAGGCAGUUAACACUGAGCCUGACCAUCCAACAAAUGUUUAUGGAUCUAAAGAAGAUGAUGCUGUAGCUUUAAAGACUCUCGGAAAUUCAGAUAGCUCCAGAACAAAGUAGGGAAACUCUCGCUUCUGAAAUUGUGAAAACUUUGGGAAACUUGUCGGAGUUUAAAUUGUCCACCAUACAGGAACUGCUGCUGAAUGAAUUCUUGCCAGACGAUGUGUGUCCACUAGAUGCCCAUUUUUCUAUGGAUGCUCCUCAUAAAGUAUAUCAAGCUGGGCCUGAAGACAAUAAAUCUAUUGAGGGAGCUUCGGUUUGGUUAAUAGAUGAUGAUGAUAAUGAUGCUUUUCUGGAACCAUUUGAAGCCAAACGAAGGAUAGUUC